UCUGUUUAAAGUGUAUUAGCAGUGCGGAGGGGACCUUAAGGACUUGUGCUUCGCCCAUUCUCUUCGGCUGUCAUGCCCCAUCAUCUGCUCGGACUGAUGAACCGUGAGGAGAGAAAGACACUCUUGUUCACCCUCUUAUUUGAUGGGGAAGGGGAGAUCCUUAAACAACCAAUCUGCUUAAGGAAUGUUCAUCAAGGAGCAAGAUGUUAGACCAGGAACAUGUUCUAUUUGGCAAAUCACAAUCACCCAACUUCAACUACAUCCUAAGAGCGUCUAAAUGAAGACAACACCAAAUUGCAAUUAUCACCUCAUUUUUUAUCACGCCUUUGGAAAAAGACAGCAGAAGUCUUCUUCAAAAAGUUCAUCCCUGGUGAAUAAGGUGUCUGUCUUAAGCUACAUCAUGAAGGCAGCUCUUGUGACUGAUGACAGAAAGGCAGUGUUUGGAAAGCCCCCCAACAAUCAAUCAGAUUUUCAUUUCAGUCCAAUGUUUUUAAUCUGCUAAUCUCUUAGGAAAUCAAUUAUGAUAGACCUGAACUGGAAAUGUAAUAUUGAUAUGAUGUCACUGCUGAAUGAGACAGCUGGUACUAUGAUUUGAUUAAUCAUUGCAUGUCAGUUCUGAAACUAUAUGUGAGACAAAGACAAAGAAGCCUUCUUAAGGCCCCAAUAUAAUUUCUGGAAGGUUCACUUUGGCAAGCUGUUUUGAAUUCCCGAAAUGAACCCCAAACAAACUUUGUUUUGGCCUGAUUUUGUUCGAAAUUACAUGUUCAUUCGAUUUUGCUUGAAGUAUAUCUGGGCCUUUAUUGUGAACAUGACUUGGGCAGGACUUGACUUAACUAUACGGAAUUGAUUGGGUUGUGAAAAGUAGAUGUUCCAUCCCAGAAUUGAGACCAGAAAUGUGCACUGAAAGAGGAAAUCAGGUCAAUUUUGAUAUCAUGUUGACUUUAAAUUCAUGUUAACAAACUUGAAUUAAAUUGCACUGAAGAAUUUAUGGUAACCAGUUUUCACCUCAGAGUGAAAAAUAAAAUGGGUAAUUAAUCGAAGUCUAAAAUAAGAAAUAAAGCCACAUUGUAGCACAUAUAUAAAGAUAUAAAGGCCCAUUGUAUGAUAUAUGGUCACACCGUCAGAUAUAAAAUUGCUAUUAUGAGAUAUGAGGUCAUAAUGAGAAAUAAGGUGUAAUAGUGAGAUUUUAAAUUGUGAACUAUGCAAUCGCAGUUCUGAAAAAUAAAGUUGCAGUUGUGAGAUAUUGAGUAAAAAUUGUGAGGUAUAAAGUUAUUAUGAAAAAUAAAGUCAUUUACCUUUUGCAGUCAA
Molecule: long non-coding RNA, 1308 nt
Organism: Ctenopharyngodon idella (grass carp)
Lineage: Eukaryota; Metazoa; Chordata; Actinopteri; Cypriniformes; Xenocyprididae
Exons: 3
Source: RefSeq, a predicted model, not a curated record